RNAcentral lists this long non-coding RNA (1181 nucleotides) under Solanum tuberosum (potato). RNAcentral's name for it is "long non-coding RNA (STUB_LNC003082)". The record is from RNAcentral. Lineage: Eukaryota; Viridiplantae; Streptophyta; Magnoliopsida; Solanales; Solanaceae.
UUGAUCAUCUGGAUUUUCAUGGAUUAUAUAAGUAUGAUUCUUACCUUGAGAUUACGCACUUGGUGAGGGCAUCCUGCAGGAAUGAAAACUGCCUCUCCAAGUCUUUGCUCGAAUGUCCAAGGUUCAAUCCCUAAAAUGGUAAGCAUCCACAUUUUGAGUUUAUUAAACAAAAUGUGAUCCUUGUUCUUAAGGAAAGAUAACGAACAAGGUAAAUUACUAACCGAAUUCUUCCUUCAGUUUUCUCUUGUGCUCCAUAGUUAGGUAGAAGCUCUGGUCAUGGAUUGGAUGAAAAACCUGAUCAACCGGACAACAGAAAGUGUGCCUAAAUUCCUUUGCAUGCUUUAAAAGAUACUCAUUCAACUUGGGUACGUCUUCCCUUCUGAAAAUGUCCCACAAGGCACCUCCAGUUGUCUCUGAAUCAUCAGAGGUUUUCUCCUCCCCUCUAAUAUCACUAGACAUCUUCAUAGGAUAUUCAUCAGCCUCACAUUUGAGGCGCUCUCUUUCAUCUUGAGUUCUAUGCCUCUGUUUCACUAUUUCAAUUGCAGACUGCUGCUCAUCAGUUAUAGCCAUCUCUGCUGUGUGUGUCAAAAUAUUUAUCUGACCAAUUCAAAAUUUUAAAAUAUUAGCUUGUCAUGAAAUGAGCCUGAAAAAGUAAUGGUUGCAAUCUUAGCAGGUAAUGCAUCAUGGACAGAAUACUGAACUGGGAAAAGCAAUAAACUGCUAUCAAGGUGAGAAUAAACAUAAAACUAGAUUGUGGCAUGUGGUUUAAUUUACCUGGAAUGUGACAAUUGUCAAAAUAUAUUGUAUAGGACUGGCCAUGAGGUUUAUGAGUCUCACUAGACAACAUAAGGCAGAAGAGAUUGGAUGAAUGUGGUGGUUCUAUAUAUUUGGAAUAAAAUGUUAGUUUUUCACCCAUUUUGGAAUUUUCAUACAAUUGAGAUACCUUCUUACCAGGUCCUUGUCGAUUUGGUCAUAGUUUUUGGAUGUGAGCUAAGGUAAUAUCCUCCAAGUUGUGAUUUCAAGUAUUAACCAGGGCUAUUCACAAGUCAACACAUAUAUUAAGGAGGUGGCAUUGACAUGAGAAUAAAGUGAAGAAAUCAAAUGAAUGAACUACAAUAGUCCCGUCAAAAUCAUACCGCAUCUGACAUAUCACAGUGAAGCUUUGUCACUGAAUCCCCUCU